RNAcentral lists this ribosomal RNA (626 nucleotides) under uncultured fungus. RNAcentral's name for it is "eukaryotic LSU rRNA". It matches the Rfam family "Eukaryotic large subunit ribosomal RNA", at positions 40 to 647 of the family's 3401-position model. The record is from RNAcentral. Lineage: Eukaryota; Fungi.
AUAUCAAUAAGCGGAGGAAAAGAAACUAACAAGGAUUCCCCUAGUAACUGCGAGUGAAGCGGGAAGAGCUCAAAUUUAAAAUCUGGCGUGCCUCUGGUCGUCCGAGUUGUAGUCUGGAGAAGCGUUUUCCGUGUUGGACCGUGUAUAAGUCUCUUGGAACAGGGCGUCAUAGAGGGUGAGAAUCCCGUCUUUGACACGGACUACCAAUGCUUUGUGAUGCGCUCUCAAAGAGUCGAGUUGUUUGGGAAUGCAGCUCAAAAUGGGUGGUAAAUUCCAUCUAAAGCUAAAUAUAGGCGAGAGACCGAUAGCGAACAAGUACCGUGAGGGAAAGAUGAAAAGCACUUUGGAAAGAGAGUUAAACAGUACGUGAAAUUGCUGAAAGGGAAACGCUUGAAGUCAGUCACGUCUGCCAGGACUCAGCCUUGCUUCUGCUUGGUGUACUUUCUGGUUUGAUGGGCCAACAUCAAUUUUGACCGUUGGAGAAAGGCGUUGGGAAUGUGGCACCUUUUGGUGUGUUAUAGCCCUUUGUUGUAUACAACGGUUGGGAUUGAGGACUGCAGCACGCCUUUAUGGCCGGGGUUCGCCCACGUACGUGCUUAGGGUGUUGGCAUAAUGGCUUUAAGCGA